AAAGGAUGCAAAGGAUGAAGAAGCAUGCUCAAUGAACAGGAGCAUGUUGUAGAGGAUUGUCAGCUAAGCACAGAGGAGAGACAAUAAUGAAGGCAGAAGGCAGGUUGGGAGAACUUUCCCAGGACAGAGCAUGAGUUAAGCUGCCAGGAAGAGGACCACAGAUGCAGCACCAGAGAUAUUUUCUGUAAUGGUAGACAGCCCCGAGCAUACUCUACAUGGAAACAAUCUUCUUAACCUCUCUCAGUUUCAGACAGCAUUGUUGAUUCAGUAGUUUCUGAGAACCCAAACUUGGUAGAGUCCUGGGUUCCUCCUUUCCUGGAUCUUAUGUCUGAAGAGUCUCCAGCCAAUAUCCUCAUGGUCUGUUUCCUUCACUCCUGCUUCCAGGAUACAGAGAACACCUAGGGAAACUCUCAAGACUCUGUCAUGGGUCCAUUCAGCACACAAGCUCCUCUGGUAUUUGGCAAACUGCAGUCAUCAGUGCCCUGGCUGUAACGGCUCCUUUGUCCCUGCAGCUUUCCAUAACAGCUCUGCCUCCAGUUUCACUGAGAAAACAGAAGGAGCACCUGCCUUAAGCCUUCCUCCUAUCAAGGGACUCUCUCUUCACAGGGCUCCAUCACCUUCUUCCCUCCUUCCCUGUAUGUCUGUCUUUGCUCCUGCUGACCCCUUCCCACCAUCCUCUCGGCAGUGACUCCCUCUAGACUCUUGUUCCCCACCAGGUGUGUCCCUCUUGACACCAAAUGCAGGUGAACCACCUCUUAUCCAAAAUGCUUGGGACCAGAAGUGCUUCUGAUUUUAAGACUUUUUAUAAUUUCAAACUAUUUGCAUAGAGUUACCAUCAUGUCAGCACUCAAAAAUUUCAGAUGCUGGAACAUUUUAGAUUGGGAAUUUUCUGAUCAAGGUUGCUCAAUCUGUACCAUCCCAAAAGAGCUUCAUUCUAGCCAGAAACUGUUGUCCCUCUAUUGGACUCCCUUUCAGCUUCUCUUUUCUUUAUUUCAGUGUCAGAUUCACUCUAGUAGUUGGUAGUUGAACUCUCAUUUUCCUCCUCCUACUUGGUUGCUUAAGUCUCAGUCCAAUUCCAGCGAGCAUUGUCGUCAGCCUCCACUGUGUGACUCUGGUAGCCUUGUUCUCUUUUGUGAAAUGCUGGAUCCUUUGACUUCUUUUAUGUGAUUCUUAGAUCAUUCCUAGACCUUCGUAGUCUCCCUUUAUGAAUGUCUUUCCUCCUACCAACCAAUGGACUUACCUUGAGGUUCUGCCUUGGUCCUCCACACUGUCUCCCUCAGGAACUUCAUCCACAUCAUGCUUUCCACACAUAAGUGGCUUCUGCAUGUAAAACUGCAGUGUGGGCUUCUCUUUUGAUAUCAUUCCCUUUAGUCAUUCUGGCUUCAUCUUAAACUCAGGAACUGAAGCAAACUUUCCAUCUUCAACAUGGGUAUUUGGGGUCAGGAACCUGGGAGAACAGGAAAGAGAAGCCCCUGCCCCUUCCUUUGCUAUUUUGUAUAUGGCAAAUAAAGUAGAUGAAGAAGGAAAUAUAUAUCCAUGUGCUGGGCUCAUUUCAUAGGAAGCCAACCCCAAAUUAAUCUCUGUUGACACUGUGUACUUCCUGAAAAUUCUUGGUUAAUCAUACUAUUUUCUCAACAACAGCUGUGUUUGUGCAAGAGAAGACCCAAUGUUCUAAUGGCUUAUUGGGAAUUUCUGCUUAUGUAAGUCAAAACUCAGAUGUGCUAAGUGUAUUGACAUGCUUAAUAACUUCAUUGAACUAUGAGUGUAAAAUAUAUUGUAAAUGGAUUUCAGUACACUUUUAAGAAUAAAUUUUAUGAAACAUGUAUGAAAGCAA
This 1834-nucleotide long non-coding RNA is filed under the name Heterocephalus glaber (naked mole-rat). Its description in RNAcentral is "lncRNA (ENSHGLG00100042324.1)". The record is from RNAcentral. Lineage: Eukaryota; Metazoa; Chordata; Mammalia; Rodentia; Bathyergidae.